ACAGAGGGUGCGAGCGUUGUUCGGAAUUAUUGGGCGUAAAGCGCGUGUAGGCGGCGAUGCAAGUCGGGUGUGAAAGCCCUCAGCUUAACUGAGGAAGUGCGCCCGAAACUGCAUUGCUUGAGUACCGGAGAGGAUGGCGGAAUUCCCCAAGUAGAGGUGAAAUUCGUAGAUAUGGGGAGGAACACCGGUGGCGAAGGCGGCCAUCUGGACGGAUACUGACGCUGAGACGCGAAAGCAUGGGGAGCAAACAGGA
This 253-nucleotide ribosomal RNA is filed under the name uncultured prokaryote. RNAcentral describes it as "partial 16S ribosomal RNA". It matches the Rfam family "Bacterial small subunit ribosomal RNA", at positions 525 to 777 of the family's 1533-position model. The record is from RNAcentral.